This 387-nucleotide ribosomal RNA is filed under the name Bacillus subtilis. RNAcentral's name for it is "bacterial SSU rRNA". It matches the Rfam family "Bacterial small subunit ribosomal RNA", at positions 1048 to 1436 of the family's 1533-position model. Lineage: Bacteria; Bacillati; Bacillota; Bacilli; Caryophanales; Bacillaceae. The record is from RNAcentral.
GUUGUCGUCAGCUCGUGUCGUGAGAUGUUGGGUUAAGUCCCGCAACGAGCGCAACCCUUGAUCUUAGUUGCCAGCAUUCAGUUGGGCACUCUAAGGUGACUGCCGGUGACAAACCGGAGGAAGGUGGGGAUGACGUCAAAUCAUCAUGCCCCUUAUGACCUGGGCUACACACGUGCUACAAUGGACAGAACAAAGGGCAGCGAAACCGCGAGGUUAAGCCAAUCCCACAAAUCUGUUCUCAGUUCGGAUCGCAGUCUGCAACUCGACUGCGUGAAGCUGGAAUCGCUAGUAAUCGCGGAUCAGCAUGCCGCGGUGAAUACGUUCCCGGGCCUUGUACACACCGCCCGUCACACCACGAGAGUUUGUAACACCCGAAGUCGGUGAGGU